Molecule: ribosomal RNA, 434 nt
Filed under: uncultured bacterium
Lineage: Bacteria
Description: bacterial SSU rRNA
Rfam family: Bacterial small subunit ribosomal RNA
Source: RNAcentral
GAUGAACGCUGGCGGCGUGCCUAAUACAUGCAAGUCGAACGUUAACUUUAGGAAACUGGAGUUGGCGUGGCGAACGGGUGAGUAACACAUGGUUGACCUGCCCUUCAGAGGGGGACAACGGCUGGAAACGGUCGCUAAUACCCCGUACGCUGGCUGGGGUUAGAGACCCGGUCAGGAAAGCGUGCAAACGUGCUGAAGGAGGGGACUGUGGCCCAUCAGCUAGUUGGAGAGGUAACGGCUCACCAAGGCGGGGACGGGUAGGGGGCCUGAGAGGGUGGUCCCCCACACUGGAACUGAGAGACGGUCCAGACUCCUACGGGAGGCAGCAGUAAGGGAUAUUGCGCGAAUGGACGAAAGUCUGACGCAGCAACGCCGCGUGCGGGAGGAAGGCCUUCGGGUCGUAAACCGCUUUUCGAGGUGAAGAGCGAGGACGG